Molecule: unclassified non-coding RNA, 307 nt
Filed under: plant metagenome
Description: partial contains 5.8S ribosomal RNA, internal transcribed spacer 2, and large subunit ribosomal RNA
Rfam family: 5.8S ribosomal RNA (bases 1-105)
Source: RNAcentral
GAAAUGCGAUAAGUAGUGUGAAUUGCAGAAUUCAGUGAAUCAUCGAAUCUUUGAACUCACAUUGCGCCCCUCGGCAUUCCGUGGGGCAUGCCUGUUCGAGCGUCAUCUACACCCUCAAGCUCUGCUUGGUGUUGGGCGUCUGUCCCGCCUCCGCGCGCGGACUCGCCCCAAAUGCAUUGGCAGCGGUUCCUUGCCCCCCUCUUUGCGCAGCACAUUGCCAUUCGAGGCGGCGGCGGCCCGCGUCCAACAAGCUCAACCCCCCCGUCUUUGACCUCGGAUCAGGUAGGGAUACCCGCUGAACUUAAGC